Molecule: RNA transcript, 1062 nt
Organism: Abrus precatorius (Indian licorice)
Lineage: Eukaryota; Viridiplantae; Streptophyta; Magnoliopsida; Fabales; Fabaceae
Exons: 7
Source: RefSeq, a predicted model, not a curated record
ACAACUAAGAAGAUAAGAGUAAGACCCACCGAAUCGGUUCCGUUAUCGGCAUCAAAUCCCGCCGAGAGACUGUCUCUGAUUAUUAUGUUGUGUGGACAUGGCCUCACUUGCCACCCCUGCGCACGUUAGCAACUUGCAUUGUCCCACUUGGAAGACGAAGCGUGUGAGAUGCGCACUGUCACCCCCAACAUGGCGGGAAGGCCGGCGCGUGGUGUCCCUCUCUCUCGUUCUCUCCCACUUUCUUCUCAUUCCUAAUCGUGAUGCAGCCCAUGCAAGUAUUUUAGAUAAGUAUGUUAAGAGAAAAAAGCUUGAUCCUCUGGAGGCUUAUGUACCAGCUGUCAUACUUACACAGUUUCAGAUCAAAGACUUGGAAAAAACAUUAGAGGCUGAUGAGCCUCAAUUUGCCCUCUGCCGGUCUCUGCUUCGUUCGGGGCCUGCAGCAUCACUUCGCAUAAAUAUUAGAGCGGUGGCACAGUAUGCAUCUGACAGUGGCUAUGGUAAAACUGCAUUCAACAAUGUUGAUGAAUGUCUGAGCUAUAGGCUGCAAAGAAAUAAAUUUGAUCAUGAUGAAAAGAUCAAACAUCAACUGAAGAAUUCUGUUUCUGAAGGUCGCUGGAAGAACUUGAUUCCUUGCUUCUGAAUGCAUCAAGAAAUGAUCCUGAAGCCUCAGUCAAGUCAAUGAAGACAAAAAUCAAUUCUGCCCUUAAUGCUCUGGACAGUCUCUUACAAACCGUACCUUCGGAUGUGCUAAGUAAGGGAAAGGCUAUAGCUGAUUCAUACAGGGAACCGGAACACGUGGAAACUGGGAGUUUAGACCCUGAAUUAAAGCAACUAGAAUCGAUCCUAUGAACAGCUAACACACUUGUUCGCCUUUUGAGUGUUAGCCGCCAGCUUAGUAAUGAUUGUAGAAACCAAAGUGCCAAAGGUUGACCUUACAACACAAAUAGUUUUUUAUGUAUCAAUUUGAAAAAGAUUGAGUUGCCGAUCUUCUUUUUUUUUUCUUUAUCUUCUGUGUGAUAUAAAGAGCAAAUAAAAUCAUCAACAGAUAACUUCCUUGUAUGU